This 467-nucleotide ribosomal RNA is filed under the name uncultured bacterium. RNAcentral describes it as "partial 16S ribosomal RNA". It matches the Rfam family "Bacterial small subunit ribosomal RNA", at positions 28 to 507 of the family's 1533-position model. The record is from RNAcentral.
GGCGAACGCUGGCGGCGUGCUUAACACAUGCAAGUCGAACGGAAAGGCUCCAGCUUGCUGGAGUACUCGAGUGGCGAACGGGUGAGUAACACGUGGGUAAUCUGCCCUGCACUCUGGGAUAAGCCUGGGAAACUGGGUCUAAUACUGGAUAUGACCUUUCUCCUUAUGGGGUUUGGUGGAAAGUUUUUCGGUGUAGGAUGAGCCCGCGGCCUAUCAGCUUGUUGGUGGGGUGAUGGCCUACCAAGGCGACGACGGGUAGCCGGCCUGAGAGGGUGAUCGGCCACAUUGGGACUGAGAUACGGCCCAGACUCGUACGGGAGGCAGCAGUGGGGAAUAUUGCACAAUGGGCGGAAGCCUGAUGCAGCGACGCCGCGUGAGGGAUGACGGCCUUCGGGUUGUAAACCUCUUUCAGCAGGGACGAAGCGUAAGUGACGGUACCUGCAGAAGAAGCACCGGCUAACUAUGUG